AUCGCCGCGGGCACUUGACGGUGUCCUAGUUUGUGCCCUCGGACAGCGGUUUCCUCUGCUUUACUGCAUGGAAAACUGAUUUCAGAAAUUUAUUUCCACACUUACGGUAACAUUAAGCCACAGCAAAAGUUAAGUGGAAUGACUUGCAGAGGGAAAAAAAUGACAGCGCAAAAAGUGACAGGUUUCUCCUUCUAGUAUUCAUCCAAUUUACUCAAAGAAGUCAUGUAACCCUAAAAGACACAUAUUCGACUUGAAUUGGGAUAUAAAAGACAAUUUCUUGCACAGUUUAUUCAACAAAUACAAUUUAAGAGUGCCUACUCAGUGUCGGGCACUGGGGACACGGUGGUCCCACGUAGCCCACAGCAGGUCUAGGAAGACAGAAAAGUUUGUGUAACCAUACAGUUUAGCACUGGAUUUGUUUAAGGGAGAUGCACAGGGCACUUGGAGGGUUCAAUGGAAAGAUCCGGUGUAAAUUGUGGACAUGGUAGACCGUCUGAGAAAACGAUGCUCCCUUUUGAGAGAGAAGACUGUUGCAGGUGGAAGGAAAUCCCGGAGGCCGAGAGGCCGCCACCCUCAGAGAAGCCGUCAGGGAGCCCAGAGCCAAGGGCAGCGGGGCCUCGGGGACCGGGGUCCAGGGGGGUCUUAGUCACGAUAAGAAGGUUUAUAUUCUUCAUGCAGCUUCCGGCCAGGUUUCGUAAAGCCACGUGAGGCCAAUCAGUUUACUCGAGAGGGUAGCUGCGGUCCCCACACGGAGAGAAGGGACAGGAGUGGAAGGCUUCCGCCGGAGCCGCGGGACGACGCAGGCCUGGGGCUUCCCUCUAGCCAGUCUGCAGUCCGGAAAGCUACGCAGGUGGUGGGGAGGAUGACGGAGAUGGUGGUGAAGGCUGAGCGGCCUGGGGUGGGCAGGGCACAGCACCGUCCCGAGUGGAGUUGGCAGAGGCUGUGACGCCAGAGGUGAGGCAGGCGGGAUGGCUGCGCAGACAGCGCUCUGCCUUCAGACGAGACUCCGGGGUGCCGUCUUUCAGCUCAGCGGCACUCCUCCCACAUGUCUUCACUGGGUGAAGCCUUGUUUUUCCCUCCGCUUGUAAAACUUGUGUUUGAUUUUUUUUUAUGGAGACUACAGGUGCAAAGGGCCUCAACCUAAAUUGGUGACAGUGGUUCCAACUCCAACUUGAAUUUUUUAAAAUAAUAGGAUAUUAAGUAACACCAGAAAAAGGGAGACAUGGAAAACACUAGGUAAGUGGGACAGCUUUAAAGGGGUCCUGCCUCCCCCAAUUUUCUUUCCAUGGGAACGGCCCCCAAAAUAGAACAAACUAUCUGAGUCAAGCAAAAUAUGUAACAUGGUCUAAACAGUGUAUCCAAAAUUAGGAAAGUGAAGCAUAGCUGGGGGUGGGGGGAGGGGGUGUUCUUGUUUGCUUUGAUUUCUGUUCUUUAAGUAUCAAUACCUGAGUACUUGAAUGUUACUAAGGUAAAUGUGGAAACUGUCCAAAAUUCUCCAAAUCUCUGUGGCUAUAGAGUUGGAUGUAUUGAAAUGAACCUGUCUUUCCUGGUAAUUUGUGAUGUUCCCUGAACACCGUUCUUUCAAGGGCUUUAAGUGAUCUUUAAUAAAAUGAAAGCGAUGGCUCAGCGAAGACCGGAUGUCGCCGUCUGCUUAUUUCCCUCUGAAUAGGUCGUUCAGAUCUUCUCUCUCAGAAAGAAUCCCUGUCUCCUGUCACAGCAAAAGACACUAGUGGAACACAACGGGAAAUCGGGAUGAAGGAAGCGGGCACGCAGGUGUGAGAACCAUGCAGGCUGACCGCCUCGUGCUGGGGUUUGCGUGUGGCUGUCAGCCUCUCGUCCUGCCCCUCGAGGGACUGGUCAUGUCAUCAGAACAGGAGCAAGAUAUGAGAGCCUUAAGGGAGAGUCUUCCCGUCACAAAGCUGGCACUGACAAUGUUCUUGAUGUGUCCGGGCUGAGCUCGCACAUGCACACGGGCCUCUGGCUCCCUUCAGAAAACAGCUCUCGGCUGGGCUGCCGACCGGAAGUGGACGGGAGAUGGUUUGAUCCCACUGGCUGGUGCUAAAGAGAACCGGGCCGGACAGCAGUUAGAGCCGUAAAAGCCUUUUACUCAGGACCACUGCAGUAGGGGAAAAGAGACCUCGGUGUAGACAGGCUCAAUUCCAAAUACGGCAAGAACAGGUGUGGUGCUCAAUGGAUGGAGAACCACUGAGGAGACAUCACGGGUGUGGCCACGAGGAAUGCCCGGACGAGGCCUGGUCGGGAAAGGGGUCUGAGGAGAGUGUCAGCGGGGCUGGGAGAAAUUCAGAAAUGUCUGCAUUCUGUGGUGCUCAUUAUCAUCGGUCUCAUCACGUCACGUCGCCGGCUGUCAGUGCUUACCUGUCGCCUUCUCUGCUAAGUUGUAAGUCCUGUGACCGCAGGGACCGAGUCUUUCUGCUCAUCACUCUGGCUCCCAGCACGAUGCCUGGCAUACAGUACGUGCUUAGUCUAUAUUUGCCACAUAAAGUCAAGUGUGGACACUGAGGCAGUGAUCAGGACGUGGCGUGUUAGAAAGCUCUGGAAUGGGAGGUGGGAAACCUCGGUCGGCACUGACGACUGGCCUUCGACCACACGUUGCCUCACCCCCGGUGAUGGGCUUCUAGGUUGCCUGCAACGCCCUGCUGCUAAAACCCAUGCAAAAUGCAUCUCCUCUGAGGGGUCCCUUAGGCACCUGGGGGAGGCUCUAGGAGUGGGAUUGCUGGAUCACGUGUGUGCACAGCACACACACACCAUGCAUGUGCACAUCAUAUGUGUGCACAUCACACGUGUGCCUGUUCUGAACCUCACCAGGCAGGGCCAGAAGGUGGUCCGCGGUGGCUUUGCCAGCCCCCAGGAGUGAGGAAGGAAACCUCUUGCCUUGCAUCCCGCCAACACAUGUGCUUGUGUUACACCUCUGUGACGCUACUCUUUUUUGUUAUUUGUCAAAUUAAGGCAGUUUCUACUGAUUGAUCUGCUGUGGAAGAUGACGCCUUAGCUUGUUCACGGUGUCCUCGUUUCCGUUACCCUGCUGCCUCUAUUCUUGGCUCCAUCAGUUAUUCUGCAGACAGUGCAUUGGGCUCCUGUGCCUGCCAGACUGUUGUAGCUGCUGGGGAUCCCUCAGCCCUGCCCUUCGGAGCCACAUGCUGCGACGGCCGAUGAGCAGCAAUGACUGUAUAGCUCCGCGUCUGGUCUGCCAGGUGUGCCCAAGCCUGAGGACAGGCAGCAGGACAAGAUGGAUGUGGGUGCUACUUCAUCGGGGAGGGUUGGAUGACAAUCCUGAAGGAGGGUGAGAGUGAGCCGCGGGCGUGUCUGGAGAGGUCGCGGGCAGAGAGAACCUCAGAGCAGAGACUCUGACGUGGGAGUGUACCUGGCUCCCCGAGGACAGGCCCAAGCUCACUGAUCCUGGAGCCACGUGGGAGGGAAGGGUCAGAGAGGAGCCGGACACUGAGGCAGGGGAGGGCAUGGGCCACCGUGAGCUCUUUGGUUUUCAUGCUGAAGGAAAUGGGAAGGCGCUGGGAGGAGGUGAUGGACUCCCAUUUAUAAAACCACUCAGUUGAGACUAGACCGUAGACGGCUAGUGUAACGACCACGCAGUGGACAGAGAUGGCUUCACAGUGAUGGGGUAGCGAGAACGGGCUGGUCCCGCCACUGUGUGCAUCCAGCAGGAUUUGUCAACAGACGGGAUGUGAGAGAGAGAGAGGGCAGAGUGGAUUCCAAGGUCCGGGUCUGGGUGAGCACAGCAGAGGGGCCUGGGCAGCAGGCCUGGCAGGGGAUGGGGAGGCGGUGUGGACAUCCACUGGGAGGUGCCAUGCAGGCAGCUGGACCUCCAGGUCUGGAAUUCAAGGAGAGGACGAGGUGGACACACACACCUGGAUGUCGUCAGGGUUUAGAUGGCAUGUAAAGCUGCGAG
Molecule: long non-coding RNA, 3925 nt
Filed under: Equus asinus (donkey)
Lineage: Eukaryota; Metazoa; Chordata; Mammalia; Perissodactyla; Equidae
Description: lncRNA (ENSEASG00005033926.1)
Source: RNAcentral